UAGGGUUAAAGGCCCUACCAAAGGCGCCGAUCCCGUACUGGUUUGAGAGGACGAUCAGCCCCCCUGGGNCUUGAGGACCCGGCCCAGACUCCUACGGGAGGCAGCAGUGGGGAAUAUUGGCCAAUGGGCGCAAGCCUUGAUCCAGCAAUGCCGCGUGGGUGAAGAAGGCCUGCGGGUUGUAAAGCCCUUUCAGUGGGGAAGAAAAGCGUACGAUGAAUACCCGUGCGUACUGACGUUACGCACAGAAGAAGCACCGGCUAACUCCGUGCCAGCAGCCGCGGUAAGACGGAGGGUGCGAGCGUUAAUCGGAAUUACUGGGCGUAAAGCGCGCGUAGGCGGUUCAGUCAGUCGGAUGUGAAAGCCCCGGGCUCAACCUGGGAACUGCAUUCGAUACUGCUGAACUGGAGUAUGGUAGAGGGUAGUGGAAUUCCCGAUGUAGCGGUGAAAUGCGUAGAUAUCGGGAGGAACCCCAGUGGCGAAGGCGGCUGCCUGGACCCAUNCUGACCCAAAAAACGCGCNAGCGUGGGGAGCAAACAGGAUUAGAUAACCUGGUAGUC
This 557-nucleotide ribosomal RNA is filed under the name uncultured bacterium. Its description in RNAcentral is "bacterial SSU rRNA". It matches the Rfam family "Bacterial small subunit ribosomal RNA", at positions 252 to 795 of the family's 1533-position model. The record is from RNAcentral.